This 495-nucleotide ribosomal RNA is filed under the name uncultured bacterium. RNAcentral's name for it is "bacterial SSU rRNA". It matches the Rfam family "Bacterial small subunit ribosomal RNA", at positions 17 to 507 of the family's 1533-position model. The record is from RNAcentral.
UCCUGGCUCAGAUUGAACGCUGGCGGCAUGCCUUACACAUGCAAGUCGAACGGCAGCACGGGAGCAAUCCUGGUGGCGAGUGGCGAACGGGUGAGUAAUAUAUCGGAACGUGCCCAGUCGUGGGGGAUAACGUAGCGAAAGCUACGCUAAUACCGCAUACGAUCUAUGGAUGAAAGCGGGGGAUCGCAAGACCUCGCGCGAUUGGAGCGGCCGAUAUCAGAUUAGGUAGUUGGUGGGGUAAAAGCCUACCAAGCCUUCGAUCUGUAGCUGGUCUGAGAGGACGACCAGCCACACUGGAACUGAGACACGGUCCAGACUCCUACGGGAGGCAGCAGUGGGGAAUUUUGGACAAUGGGNGCAAGCCUGAUCCAGCAAUGCCGCGUGCAGGAUGAAGGCCUUCGGGUUGUAAACUGCUUUUGUACGGAACGAAACGGCUCUUUCUAAUAAAGGGAGCUAAUGACGGUACCGUAAGAAUAAGCACCGGCUAACUACGUG